GAUGAACGCUGGCGGCGUGCCUAAUACAUGCAAGUCGAGCGAACAGAUAAGGAGCUUGCUCCUUUGACGUUAGCGGCGGACGGGUGAGUAACACGUGGGUAACCUACCUAUAAGACUGGAAUAACUCCGGGAAACCGGGGCUAAUGCCGGAUAACAUGUUGAACCGCAUGGUUCUACAGUGAAAGGCGGCUUUGCUGUCACUUAUAGAUGGACCCGCGCCGUAUUAGCUAGUUGGUGAGGUAACGGCUCACCAAGGCAACGAUACGUAGCCGACCUGAGAGGGUGAUCGGCCACACAGGAACUGAGACACGGUCCAGACUCCUACGGGAGGCAGCAGUAGGGAAUCUUCCGCAAUGGGCGAAAGCCUGACGGAGCAACGCCGCGUGAGUGAUGAAGGUCUUCGGAUCGUAAAACUCUGUUAUGAGGGAAGAACAAAUGCGUAAGUAACUGUGCGCGUCUUGACGGUACCUAAUCAGAAAGCCACGGCUAACUACGU
RNAcentral lists this ribosomal RNA (496 nucleotides) under uncultured bacterium. RNAcentral describes it as "partial 16S ribosomal RNA". It matches the Rfam family "Bacterial small subunit ribosomal RNA", at positions 28 to 506 of the family's 1533-position model. The record is from RNAcentral.